Molecule: RNA transcript, 2001 nt
Organism: Equus quagga
Lineage: Eukaryota; Metazoa; Chordata; Mammalia; Perissodactyla; Equidae
Gene: GOLGA7B
Gene name: golgin A7 family member B
Exons: 6
Source: RefSeq, a predicted model, not a curated record
GAGCAGCGGCAGCCGGCGAUCCGGCUGUGAAGAUCUUCGGGCGCGGCCUCGCCUCCCUGGCCCGGAGCCCGCAUCAGCACCGCGGACUGCACAGCGGCCGUCGCCCGGACCCAGGUGCCAGCCGGCCCACCAGCCCACCGGGGCCCGGGCCCCCGGCUUCCGCAUCAGCACCGCGGACAGCGCCCCGGGCCCCAUCUCGCCGCUGCCAACCCACCUGAUUCCCGAGUCAGCACUGCGGACAGGCACCCUCGACCGGCCCCGCAGCAGACUCAGAGCGGUCAGCGCCCCCGGAAUAUGGCCACUGAGGUCCACAACCUGCAGGAGCUCCGGCGAAGUGCCUCACUAGCCACCAAGGUCUUCAUCCAGAGAGACUACAGCGAUGGGACCAUCUGUCAGUUCCAGACCAAAUUCCCCCCAGAGCUGGACAGCCGGAUUGAGCGGCAGCUCUUCGAGGAGACUGUGAAGACCCUCAACAGCUUCUACGCAGAGGCCGAGAAGAUUGGGGGCAGCUCCUACCUUGAGGGGUGUCUGGCCUGUGCCACGGCCUACUUCAUCUUCCUCUGCAUGGAGACCCACUACGAGAAGGUUCUCAAGAAGAUCUCCCGCUACAUCCAGGAGCAGAAUGAGAAGAUCUUUGCUCCUCGAGGCCUCCUUCUUACGGACCCUGUGGAGCGUGGGAUGAGGGUUGUAUCCUUCCUGGCUGGUCUGUGCAAGGGCACACAGCUGCCGACCAGUGGGGUCCCCGGGGAGGCAGCCAGGAAAUGGGGUCACCCUAGGGGCCUCUGAUCAGGGAUUUCCUAGGAUUUCCCACAUCCCUGGUCACCAGCAAGUUACUGGUGCUGUUUGUGUAUUUCAGGGUCUGCUUGUACUGAGCUGCACUUAAGCUGUUCUCAGUGCGCGCCGGAUCUCAACGCAAGUGCUUUGAAACCAUGAAUUCGUGUAGAUCUCAUAACCCCCCAUCAGGCCUUGUGCUUGGUGCCUCUCAUUCUCACAGCAACCCCAAGAUUCCACUAUUAUCCUCACUGACAGACGUGAUAAGUGAUGGGUUAAGUGACUGGUCCAAGGGCAUAUAGCUCAAGUGUGGGCAAGUUGACAUUUGAACUCAGGACACCAGAGUCCUCACACUUUCUGUGCAGUGACACCAGCUCCUGGGCACAUCCGAGUCCUGGGAUAUGGCCAUUAGACCCACUGAAGUGUAAGCUCCUGAUCCUGGCUGUGCGCCCAGUGCAGUGUCCGGCCCUACAAGUCUCCGGAACUGUGAACUGUGGUUCUCCCCUCCUGAGUUGACUGUGUACAUUCUAGCAAAAGAGAAGCUGGAGUUCUAGAAGAGCAGAGCCAACCAUCCAGGGCCUUCCGUGCCCCUCCCCCAGCUCCCCAUGACAAGGCAUUGGGACCACGGACCCACGUAUUCAGCUGCCCAGGCUCUAGGCUCUUCAGGGCUGUGUAAGCGAGGCUUCCUUGGAUGUUCAAAGGCACCAGCAACCUGCAGGGGAGAAGCAAGCUCCCUUCUUGAAAGGAAAGAGGGGCGUCCAGCCAAGGAGGCCCUGGCUGCUGAGGCCCAGGCAGGCCAGUGAGAACGAAGGAGCUCUGUUCUGGUGCCUGGGAGACAGACAGAAGGAAGCUGCCUGCCUCAGCUGGCAGGAGGUGCUAGAGGUGGCUAUGAAAGACUAGCCGCUGCGGGUAGCUUUCUGGAACCAAAGAGGGGCCGGAUUUUCUUUUGGACACUGGAGCAGCAUGUGGGAAGGAGGCAUCUCCCCAGAGAGCUAGAGUGAGCGGCCUAGCCCUUGAGCCCAAGUGGGUCCUGGUCCAAGGAUCCCCCUGGAGAGCUGCAGCCUAGUGGGCUCCACCACAGCCCCUGACCCUGGACCCGGCCCGUGCCCACCCUGGCCCACUGUGUGGCUGGGCCUUGUGCCUGAGCUGUGCCUGUCCCGUGGGUUGGCUGGGCACAAGCGAUGUGGUCGCCUUUUGUUUUAUUAUUUCUUUUUCCAAUAAAAGGACUUU